UAAGAAAUGGGCUUUGGACAGACAGACAGACUCCUGGGGCCUGCCAACCAUCAAAAUGUCCAAAGGGCCUCUUAUUCUCUGGCUGCUGGUUGAGCUUGGGCGGCUCUCUCUGAGUUCAGCUGCAGAAGAGACUGUGACAGCGUAUUUGGGUCAGACGGUGACUUUGCCCUGUAUAUACUCAUCCUGGUCUCACAACAGGAACAGCAUGUGCUGGGGGAAGGGUGAGUGUCCCAAAUCCAAAUGCAAUAAUGAGCUUCUCCACACCGAUGGGAGGCGGGUGCUGUCCAAGAGGUCACCAAAAUACGAACUUCUGGGCAUUAUCCGGAGAGGCCAUGUCUCCUUGACCAUCUUCAACACCAAUGAAGAUGACAGCAGUGUGUACUGCUGCCGCAUAGAGGUCCCUGGUUGGUUCAAUGACGUGAAGAAGAACAUUCGCCUGCGGUUGAUGAGAGCCCCAUCAACCAGGCGCUCCACAACACGUCUCCCAACCACCACCACUGCUCUGACAACAACCACAGCUGUGCUUCCAACAACAGCUAUGAUUACACCUGAGCUCACAACCAGAACGCCACUUCAGACAAGAACCACCACUGCCCUCACAACAGUGGCAACGACAUGCCCUCCAGCCACAUCAACAUUUCUUUCUGAAACCACCACAGUUCUUCCAACCAUUGAGCUUUCCACGGAGGGGACCAUCCUCACUGCAGAGUCAGAAACUUCCUUUCUCUCCAAAGACCCUGAGAGAAGCACUGAGGUGACUUCUGGAAGCACUGCCUUGCUGACAUCCAAAGAGUCUGAAGCCUGGUUUCUCCAGUCAACAUCCCAGGUCUCCAUGUGGGAAAUGAGUGACCCAGUGACUUUUCCUCAGACAGGAGCAAUGGAGACAGAAAUGCCUGUGCAAAAUGGAGUUGAAUCAGAACAGGUAAAAAUGAUCAACUCCGACUGGCUGAUGAUCAUUGCUCCCUCCCUGGGAUUCGUACUGUUGGCAUUGCUUGUGGCACUUUUCCUUCAAGCAAGCUUUGUUAACCUGGGCUCCACAGACAGACCUCAGCGGAAAAGGAUUCCCUUGGAAUCCCGUGCAAAGGUACUUGCAUGCUCCGAUCUGCACUUCUCAGGGGGUGGGACCCACAGUCAUAUUAGAUUCCCCACCUGUCUGUGACCUUACACCUCCCCACCCCACCACACACCUCUUCAAAAAAAUAGUUUUAACACACUGUAAAAAGGAGUCAUGGAACAGGGUUUAUAGUUGUCAUGCAAAGUAGAGGUAUGUGACAUCUGGUUCUGUUGUAAAAUGGGGGGAAAUUGUUCUGUAGUCAUUAACAGAAACUGUUUUGAGGUGGUAAAUGAGGAAAUAGAACUGCUAACCAUCUUGGCCCUUUCACGCAACAGUAGUGAAACUUGCAUGUUUCAAUACCUGUUCCGUGAACACGGACAAAGGAAAUUCUGAUCUCAGUAGGAAGCCUGCCAUUAGCCUUCCUGCAAAGCCCUUCGUAAAGGCAGAGGCCACUGGUCCUCAUACAGUUUUGGAAUUUGUGAGUAUGUCUCAUAAGGAAGUGUUUUAAAACUCAAGUGAGUGCUUCAGCUCUGCGUGGCCAAAGAUGUAAGAAUGAAGCAGCUUAACAUUAUUGCCAACAAUACGGGAACAGAUGCGUAACCGAUGGGCACUGCCUUGGGGCCCGAAGAAGUAAAAGGAAUGGCUUCGUUUGCCAAAACCAGCCCCUAAAUUCUCACCUUUGGCCCAACUCUGCUCUUGGGAAAGUCAUGAAAGCCAGUUGUUUCUCGAAACACACGAGGCUAGACAAUGUUGGAGAAUGUAAGAACAACUUUGGUGACAUGCGGCA
RNA transcript from Mustela lutreola (European mink), 1841 nucleotides. It is a transcript of the gene named T cell immunoglobulin and mucin domain containing 4, with no coding region annotated. NCBI's taxonomy places the organism in Eukaryota, Metazoa, Chordata, Mammalia, Carnivora, Mustelidae. The transcript is spliced from 10 exons. The record is from RefSeq and is a predicted model, not a curated record.